UUAGAAUCAAUGUGUCAAUUUCUACAAAAGCCUGCUGGGAUUUAGGUUGAGAUUAUUUUAUAUCUGUAGCUAUUUAGGGAGAAUUGACAUUUCAAAAAUAUGAAAUCUUUCAAUCCAUGAAUAAAAAACUUUUUACAUUUUUUUUUUAGGUUUUAAAUUUCUACCACAAAUGUUUUGUAGUUUUUGGUGCACAGAUCUUGCACAACCAUAGUACAAGCCCAAUAGGCCACAGUGUCUGACCCUGAGACAGAUUACUGCGGAAUCAGAGACGUAGACAGGGAGAGCAUUAUCGUCCUCAUUUUGCUCAUCUCUUUCUUCAUCUCAGAAAUGAAUAUAAUAGUCCCCGCCUCCCAAAGUUGUGAGAGUUGAAUGCUUUAGUCCCCUAAAGCUUACAGGACUAAAACAAGCUUACAAGAUUGUUUGCACACACCGGUUGAGUGUUCUUUAUUGGAAAUAUUUGUAACCAGAAGAGUUUCAUAUUAAAC
This 485-nucleotide long non-coding RNA is filed under the name Marmota monax (woodchuck). The record is from RNAcentral. Lineage: Eukaryota; Metazoa; Chordata; Mammalia; Rodentia; Sciuridae.